This 242-nucleotide non-coding RNA is filed under the name Bacillota bacterium. RNAcentral's name for it is "Firmicutes bacterium T-box sequence". It matches the Rfam family "T-box leader". Rfam says of the family: Uncharged tRNA acts as the effector for transcription antitermination of genes in the T-box leader family. T-boxes are found upstream of many aminoacyl-tRNA synthetase genes and some amino acid biosynthetic genes usually in Gram-positive bacteria. Lineage: Bacteria; Bacillati; Bacillota. The record is from RNAcentral.
AGAAAAGCAAUGAUGGGAAGAAGUAGAUUUUCUAAGAACCUACAGAGAGCUGCCGGAUGGUGAGAGGCGCACAGGUAACGGAAAGUUGAAUACAUCCCGGAGCAUCGCACCGAAUGAGAUGUUUCUUUAGUAGGCUGCGACGGCAGCACCCGUUAUAGUGCAGGGGUAUAUUUGUACCUGAUGAGGCAUCGGAUGUGAGUCCGGUGUGAAGUAAGGUGGUAACACGUUAAUACGUCCUUACG